UUCACCACAUCCAAUCAUUUUGUCAUAUACUAAAAAGGAGGUUUGCGAAUUAUCACUCAAAUUUAAAGUACUUGAUAUAAUUAUCACCAGCAGAAAUGGCAUACUCUAAACAUAUUUUAAACCAAACUUUCCUGUACAAAACUGGCCUGAAAGAAAUAUUUAAUAAGGAGUUUAGAAGGAAGAUUCUGGAAACAAUCACCUUCUUUUCUUGACACAGUCUUCCCCUAACCCCACAUAAGAACCACUCUGGCCUCUCCCCACAAAAAGUAAGUACUACAUAUAUUCCUGAGUUUUGCAUUGCUAAGCCUCAUAAUCUUUAAAUCUAGAAUUUAAGGUCUCUGGAAUAGAGUACUUUACCUUUUGUUAAUUGUUAUCUCUGUUGCUUAAAAGAGUGCUAGCUCACACCAGGACCACCCU
RNAcentral lists this long non-coding RNA (417 nucleotides) under Fukomys damarensis (Damara mole-rat). Its description in RNAcentral is "lncRNA (ENSFDAG00000023113.1)". The record is from RNAcentral. Lineage: Eukaryota; Metazoa; Chordata; Mammalia; Rodentia; Bathyergidae.